GAUGAAGAACGUAGCGAAAUGCGAUACGUAAUGUGAAUUGCAGGUUUCAGUGAAUCAUCGAAUCUUUGAACGCACAUUGCGCCCGCCAGUAUUCUGGCGGGCAUGCCUGUUCGAGCGUCAUUUCAACCAUCAAGCCUUCGCUUGUGUUGGGGCCCCGCGGCUGCCGCGGUCCCCUAAAUCCAGUGGCGGGCUCGUCGUCGUACCGAGCGCAGUAGACAUCCUCGCUCCGGGAACCCGACGGGUGCCGGCCGUGAAACCCCCCACAUCAAGGUUGACCUCGGAUCAGGUAGGAAUACCCGCUGAACUUAAGCAUAUCAAUAAGCGGAGGA
RNAcentral lists this unclassified non-coding RNA (329 nucleotides) under soil metagenome. RNAcentral's name for it is "partial contains 5.8S ribosomal RNA, internal transcribed spacer 2, and large subunit ribosomal RNA". The stretch from base 1 to 120 matches the Rfam family "5.8S ribosomal RNA", at positions 35 to 154 of the family's 154-position model. The record is from RNAcentral.